RNAcentral lists this ribosomal RNA (252 nucleotides) under uncultured bacterium. RNAcentral's name for it is "partial 16S ribosomal RNA". It matches the Rfam family "Bacterial small subunit ribosomal RNA", at positions 524 to 776 of the family's 1533-position model. The record is from RNAcentral.
UACGUAGGUCCCGAGCGUUGUCCGGAUUUAUUGGGCGUAAAGCGAGCGCAGGUGGUUUAUUAAGUCUGGUGUAAAAGGCAGUGGCUCAACCAUUGUAUGCAUUGGAAACUGGUAGACUUGAGUGCAGGAGAGGAGAGUAGAAUUCCAUGUGUAGCGGUGAAAUGCGAAGAUAUAUGGAGGAACACCGGUGGCGAAAGCGGCUCUCUGGCCUGUAACUGACACUGAGGCUCGAAAGCGUGGGGAGCAAACAGG